GUAGGGAAUCUUCCACAAUGGGCGAAAGCCUGAUGGAGCAACGCCGCGUGAGCGAAGAAGGUCUUCGGAUCGUAAAGCUCUGUUGUAAGGGAAGAACAAGCGCAGCAGUAACUGGCUGCGCCCUGACGGUACCUUACUAGAAAGCCACGGCUAACUACGUGCCAGCAGCCGCGGUAAUACGUAGGUGGCAAGCGUUGUCCGGAAUUAUUGGGCGUAAAGCGCGCGCAGGCGGUCUCUUAAGUCUGAUGUGAAAGCCCCCGGCUCAACCGGGGAGGGUCAUUGGAAACUGGGAGACUUGAGUGCAGGAGAGGGAAGUGGAAUUCCAUGUGUAGCGGUGAAAUGCGUAGAGAUAUGGAGGAACACCAGUGGCGAAGGCGGCUUCCUGGCCUGUAACUGACGCUGAGGCGCGAAAGCGUGGGGAGCAAACAGGAUUAGAUACCCGAGUAGUCC
Molecule: ribosomal RNA, 450 nt
Filed under: uncultured bacterium
Lineage: Bacteria
Description: bacterial SSU rRNA
Rfam family: Bacterial small subunit ribosomal RNA
Source: RNAcentral